Molecule: ribosomal RNA, 406 nt
Filed under: uncultured bacterium
Lineage: Bacteria
Description: partial 16S ribosomal RNA
Rfam family: Bacterial small subunit ribosomal RNA
Source: RNAcentral
AUUGAACGCUGGCGGCAGGCUUAACACAUGCAAGUCGAGCGAGCGGCGGACGGGUGAGCAAUGUCUGGGAAACUGCCUGAUGGAGGGGGACAACUACCGGAAACGGUAGCUAAUACCGCAUAACAUCAGAUCGGCCCAGAUGGGAUUAGCUAGUAGGUGGGGUACUGGCUCACCUAGGCGACGAUCCCCAGCUGGUCUGAGAGGAUGACCGGCCACACUGGAACUGUGACACGGUCCAGACUCCUACGGGAGGCAGCAGUGGGGAAUAUUGCACAAUGGGCGCAAGCCUGAUGCAGCCAGGCCGCGUGUGUGAAGACGGUCUUCGGGUUGUAAAGCACUUUCGGCUGGGAGGCGUUACUCACAGAAAAAGCACCGGCUAACUCCGUGCCAGCAGCCGCGGUAAUUC